RNAcentral lists this ribosomal RNA (440 nucleotides) under uncultured bacterium. RNAcentral's name for it is "bacterial SSU rRNA". It matches the Rfam family "Bacterial small subunit ribosomal RNA", at positions 340 to 773 of the family's 1533-position model. The record is from RNAcentral.
UACGGGAAGGCAGCAGUGGGGAAUAUUGCACAAUGGGCGCAAGCCUGAUGCAGCCAUGCCGCGUGUAUGAAGAAGGCCUUCGGGUUGUAAAGUACUUUCAGUCGUGAGGAAGGUGUUAAGGUUAAUAACCUUAGCAAUUGACGUUAGCGACAGAAGAAGCACCGGCUAACUCCGUGCCAGCAGCCGCGGUAAUACGGAGGGUGCGAGCGUUAAUCGGAAUUACUGGGCGUAAAGGGCACGCAGGCGGUUAAUUAAGUUGGAUGUGAAAUCCCCGGGCUUAACCUGGGAAUGGCAUUCAAGACUGGUUAGCUAGAGUCUUGUAGAGGGGGUAGAAUUCCAUGUGUAGCGGUGAAAUGCGUAGAGAUGUGGAGGAAUACCGGUGGCGAAGGCGGCCCCUGGACAAAGACUGACGCUCAUGUGCGAAAGCGUGGGGAGCAAAC